This 467-nucleotide ribosomal RNA is filed under the name uncultured bacterium. RNAcentral's name for it is "partial 16S ribosomal RNA". It matches the Rfam family "Bacterial small subunit ribosomal RNA", at positions 28 to 506 of the family's 1533-position model. The record is from RNAcentral.
GACGAACGCUGGCGGCGUGCUUAACACAUGCAAGUCGAACGGAAAGGCCCUGCUUUUGUGGGGUGCUCGAGUGGCGAACGGGUGAGUAACACGUGAGUAACCUGCCCUUGACUUUGGGAUAACUUCAGGAAACUGGGGCUAAUACCGGAUAGGAGCUCCUGCUGCAUGGUGGGGGUUGGAAAGUUUCGGCGGUUGGGGAUGGACUCGCGGCUUAUCAGCUUGUUGGUGGGGUAGUGGCUUACCAAGGCUUUGACGGGUAGCCGGCCUGAGAGGGUGACCGGAGAGAGGGGGAGUGAGAGACGGCGGAGGGGAGCCGGGGGGGGAGAGGGGGGGAGUGUUGCACAAUGUGGGGAGGUGGGAGGCGGUACGGCCGCGGGCGGGGUGAGGGGGUGGGGGUUGUAAACCGGUGGAGCGGGUGACGAAGGGGGAGUGGCUGUAGGGGGUAAGGAAGCACCGGCUAACUACGU